CAGUCGCCACGGGAAUACGAAGGGGGCUAGCGUUGCUCGGAAUCACUGGGCGUAAAGGGUGCGUAGGCGGGUCUUUAAGUCAGGGGUGAAAUCCUGGAGCUCAACUCCAGAACUGCCUUUGAUACUGAAGAUCUUGAGUUCGGGAGAGGUGAGUGGAACUGCGAGUGUAGAGGUGAAAUUCGUAGAUAUUCGCAAGAACACCAGUGGCGAAGGCGGCUCACUGGCCCGAUACUGACGCUGAGGCACGAAAGCGUGGGGAGCAAACAGGAUUAGAUACCCGAGUAGUCCCUGUCUCUUAUAC
This 301-nucleotide ribosomal RNA is filed under the name uncultured bacterium. RNAcentral's name for it is "partial 16S ribosomal RNA". It matches the Rfam family "Bacterial small subunit ribosomal RNA", at positions 509 to 807 of the family's 1533-position model. The record is from RNAcentral.